UAAAAUGUUUUUGUGUGUGUC
This 21-nucleotide non-coding RNA is filed under the name Arabidopsis thaliana (thale cress). The record is from RNAcentral. Lineage: Eukaryota; Viridiplantae; Streptophyta; Magnoliopsida; Brassicales; Brassicaceae.